RNAcentral lists this ribosomal RNA (793 nucleotides) under uncultured bacterium. RNAcentral's name for it is "bacterial SSU rRNA". It matches the Rfam family "Bacterial small subunit ribosomal RNA", at positions 8 to 796 of the family's 1533-position model. The record is from RNAcentral.
AGAGUUUGAUCCUGGCUCAGAUUGAACGCUGGCGGAAUGCUUUACACAUGCAAGUCGAACGGCAACACGGACUUCGGUCUGGUGGCGAGUGGCGAACGGGUGAGUAAUAUAUCGGAACGUAUCCAAUAAUGGGGGAUAACUAAUCGAAAGGUUGGCUAAUACCGCAUACGCCCUACGGGGGAAAGCUAGGGACCUUCGGGCCUGGCGUUAAUGGAGCGGCCGAUAUCUGGUUAGCUAGUUGGUGAGGUAAAGGCUCACCAAGGCGACGAUCAGUAGCUGGUCUGAGAGGACGACCAGCCACACUGGAACUGAGACACGGUCCAGACUCCUACGGGAGGCAGCAGUGGGGAAUUUUGGACAAUGGGCGAAAGCCUGAUCCAGCCAUUCCGCGUGAGUGAAGAAGGCCUUCGGGUUGUAAAGCUCUUUCGCAAGGGAAGAAAGAUUACUCUCUAACAUAGAGUAAUUAUGACGGUACCUUGAUAAGAAGCACCGGCUAACUACGUGCCAGCAGCCGCGGUAAUACGUAGGGUGCGAGCGUUAAUCGGAAUUACUGGGCGUAAAGCGUGCGCAGGCGGUUUUGUAAGUCAGAUGUGAAAUCCCCGAGCUCAACUUGGGAACUGCGUUUGAAACUACAAGACUAGAAUAUGUCAGAGGGGGGUAGAAUUCCACGUGUAGCAGUGAAAUGCGUAGAGAUGUGGAGGAAUACCAAUGGCGAAGGCAGCCCCCUGGGAUAAUAUUGACGCUCAUGCACGAAAGCGUGGGGAGCAAACAGGAUUAGAUACCCCGGUAGUCC